UACGAAGGGGGCUAGCGUUGUUCGGAAUUACUGGGCGUAAAGCGCGCGCAGGCGGCUAUCCAAGUCAGUGGUGAAAGCCCGGAGCUCAACUCCGGAACUGCCAUUGAAACUGUUUAGCUUGAGGAUGAGAGAGGUGAGUGGAAUUCCCAGUGUAGAGGUGAAAUGCGCAGAUAUCGGGAGGAACACCGGUGGCGAAGGCGGUUCUCUGGGCCUUACCUGACGCUGAGGAGCGAAAGCGU
Molecule: ribosomal RNA, 239 nt
Filed under: uncultured bacterium
Lineage: Bacteria
Description: partial 16S ribosomal RNA
Rfam family: Bacterial small subunit ribosomal RNA
Source: RNAcentral